GACAAAUUGUGUGAUUUUGUCACGAGAUAAUUCUAAACUCUUUGCAAUGGUUUUCUUCUAGCUGGAACUACACAAGCUACCACUCCAGGUACAACGGGCGGAAAAACAAUGAAGCCAACUAGUAAGUUAUGGACAGAAACACUCUGUAAUAUUAAGUUACAUAUUUCAAAGACUUUGGCCAAGAUUUGCUUUUCAAUCAAAGUGUGAAAUUAAAAUUUUCUUGGUAAAAUUUAUGUCAUCUUCCAUAAGCAGUAAAGUAGUAUAUUCAGACAAAUUUCCUUUUUAAACAAAAUGUGACCCAUUAAUGUGACCCUACUAUUAUUUUGCUCUGUCUAGUGCCAGAUUAUUUUACUUUAUUUAUUACUGUCUGUUGUAUGUAUGAUUAUUUUACUCAUCAAGUGGAGAGUGCUGGCACUCUAUGGUUUAACAAGACUUUAAUAAAUUUAAUAUAAGUUGAAAGUUCUUUUUGCAAGUCUCCACAAUAAUAAUGUAAUUCUUAGUUUAAUACUGUGUAUCUAAUGUGGUAAAUGCGCCUAGCAGUAUUAGACUUAAUAUGAAAUCCGAUAGCAAAAACUUUGUUAUAUUACAGGGUUCGAAAUAACGGUUCGUGAAUCACUAAUCAAUUUUCAUUUUUCAUGAACCCAAUUUCAUAGAAAUUGAUCAAAAUCACGAAUCAAAAGUCUCUCAAAUUGAUAAAAAAUACAAUAAUAAAUUUGUAAAUGUGAUGAAGAAUCAUAUAUUCUGAAGAUAUUGAUGUUAGAUUGUACUUAACUCUUUGCGGACCCAGCCCAAAUCAUUCAUCCGCGAGCGGUUGAUAGCUUUGUGUUUUCAUAUCUUCGGUUCAGUGCAUGCUAUGAAGACAGAAAUACCACCAUUCGAUUCAGAAAUAAAAGAUUCAACUAAUUCCUCACUAUAGUUUUAGUCAUUAUGAACAUUGUAACGAUUUAUGGGCCUUUGAAGUCAAAUAUGAUCAUAUUGUAUCAAAUUACGCAAUUGUCUGAACAAAAAUAUAGACUAAGCCAUACCUUUCGCCGAAAAUAACUUUGGCCCCUUCGAACAUAUCGUCUUUGCAAUAGUCUUGUUCGAAUCCCCAUCAAAAACGCUAUCUACAGUGUUAUUUGCACGCCUGUAGCUUCAAAUCUGUAUCUUUCAUCAAUAUAUUUCCAUUUCUUGUCCGACUGUGAGCUCGAAGUGAGUUAAUCCCAACCGGAAAUACGACUGAAAACCAUCAAAACAAUGCGAUGUUUGUAUCGUAUGACCCUGGAAAGGCCAGAAAUGGAUUCGGAAGGUCAAAUUGCAUCUACACGUGUGAGUUUGACAUCAUCCCGGCCACAGGAGCCUUCUUAUUGGCCGAUUAUUGUGCAAUGUACGUGAUUGUGACGUGUGAGAGUAAAACCCGACAUCUUGAAAAAGUCAAAAUAAAUAUUUCUACUCGCCGUACUCAAACGAAAUUUUGUACACGAAAGCGCUUGAAUACAAAGAGUAUUUUACACAUAUAGCCGUUCCGCAAAUUACAAAAAGUUCAAGAGAUAUUCAAGAUCUUGUGGAUAUGAAAUUUAGAAUCUUAGGCCAAGCGGUGAGUAAAGACAGUAAAUAUAUGAUUGUUUCGGUUUGUGUUAUUUCUGACGGCACUUGACCCCCCGUUCGAAAGGUUAUUUGGUAAGGAUUACAAUGGUGGCUUUUAUUUAAAAAGGGGGUAAAUACUCGCUGAGAUAUUUAUAUUAGAAAAAUUGUGUCCUAAUGUAAUGCGAAACCGCACAGCUUGGAACGGUCGUGAAAGAGUUAAAAACGAGUAUAAUUCCACCCAAAAUUAUAUUUCUUUGCGAGUUUGCAAUGUAUAUUAUAUUUUUGAAAAUUGCAGUGCUUCCACUUUAAAAAACUUCCAAUUAGAGAAAAUUCCUUGAAAAUUCUUUAAAAUUUCCUUAAAAUAAAAAAAUUGAUUCACGAACCAUUUUUUCAGAAUUAAUUCGAACCCUGUAUUAUUUACCUGUACGUCUUAAGAAUGCUUUGUCAUUUGUAUUUAUACGUACACUAUUAAAAGCAGUGCGUAAUUCAACAGAUUCCACUUGCCAGCACUUGGUCUUGGAAAUAUUAUGUAUUCAUGCUGUAUGUCUUAAGAAUGCUUUGUCCUUUGUAUUUAUUUGCGUACUUGCGCAGCGCGUAGUUGAACAGAUUCCACUUGGUCUUGAAAAUAUAUAUUCUUGGUUAUUCUUUAGUGAAGGAUGAACUCGACAAUCAGUUGGGGAAAUACUUACCCUUCAACUAUUCAGCCACUUUUUGUGCUGCAAAAAAGGGCUAUCUGUAUUAUGACUUUUUCCAAAUUUGAUGAGCACUCUAGCCCAAUAAUUAAAUCGUUGAAGAUUAUAAAGCUGUGUGAUCUUGUCACUCUACAUAUUGCAAUAUUUAUAUUUAAAUUUCAUCGUCAGAUGUUACCUCCUGCCUUUAACUUGUUUUUCACGCCAGUGAAAAAUGUCCAUUAAAUUAUAAUACACGUUCACUGGCUACACAGUCUUACUAUCUCCCCAAAAUAAGAACAAAUUAUGGUAAAUUCAAUGUACGAUUUCAAGGACCUAUAGUUUGGAAUGCAAUUGGUAUUCAUGUUAAGUCUCUUUCAUUUAAAAAAUUCAAAAAAUAUUUCAAACAAGUUUUAAUUGUACUAGAUAAAACAUGAGCAGCCGAUCUGUAUCUGAUAUACAAACUCGAGCCAAAGGCGAGAGUUUGUAUAUCAGAUACAGAUCGGAUGCAAAUGUUUUAUCGUACUUAAAAAAUGACCCAUCUUGUGAGUUCAAUGGCGAAGUAAGUUUAAAAAUAAACAUUGUCUAAGCCGAGAAAAUCAAAGCUAAAGUUUAUGUAAAUCAGGACAAAUCUUUAUCCAAUUUACAAACAUUGAUUAAACAUUCAUUUCUUUUGUAUUUUCCUUGUGAAUUAUUAAUGAAUUUUUUAAAAGUAAUUAUUUUGUAUAAUUAACAAAAAAAAAACCUCCAGUAUAUGUUUGUAUUAAUAAAUAUAUGUUGUCUGUCUUUGUGUUUUUAAAUUUUUAUGUGUGCUUUAUGUAAUUUAGUAAUUAACAUUAUUGUAAACUGGCUUCCCAGAAUCUUUAGCUUAGUGGUUAUUUUGGGACGUCGUUGUCCCAAGUAUUGUAAAAAAUCUCUUAUGUAUGUAUUUUUCUUGCAUAAUUUUAGCCAAAGAUUCUAAUGCAACUACCCCCAAAGCAACACCAAAAACUACAAGUGGUGUAGAAAGUUCAAGUGCUAUCUUUGGUCUUGUUCUUGCUUUUGCAUUUUCUUGGUAUGUAUAUAUUACUAUCUUGAAACAACUUGAGAAUACUAUGAUUUUUACAUCCAGUUCACCACCCUGUACUUUGACCGGUCCCUUAGUGAAUGCUAGUCUUUUAACUCAUUAAGCGGCAAGCUGUUACAAUGUUUCUACCCGCCUAAGGCGCAAGCAAUAUGGCGAAUAUGUGAUUGAAUUCAAGAG
Molecule: non-coding RNA, 3477 nt
Organism: Paramuricea clavata
Lineage: Eukaryota; Metazoa; Cnidaria; Anthozoa; Malacalcyonacea; Plexauridae
Source: the annotation of a GenBank genome assembly